Molecule: non-coding RNA, 197 nt
Organism: Trichophyton benhamiae CBS 112371
Lineage: Eukaryota; Fungi; Ascomycota; Eurotiomycetes; Onygenales; Arthrodermataceae
Source: Rfam
AGAUCAAAAAUGCUAACAGAACCAGCCACGACCGUCAUUUACAAAAUACAACCCCAAAGUGAUGUGUUGCCAUAGAAUCUAGUUUACUAGUUUCUUACGGUUCUGGAGAAUAUUGUUCCUAGACAGGAAGUUCCACUCCCGUUGAGUCCUUUUAAAUAAGGGCGAUGGGAAUGGAAUGUCGAAGACGGGAUACAUUU